Molecule: ribosomal RNA, 714 nt
Filed under: uncultured Staphylococcus sp.
Lineage: Bacteria; Bacillati; Bacillota; Bacilli; Caryophanales; Staphylococcaceae
Description: bacterial SSU rRNA
Rfam family: Bacterial small subunit ribosomal RNA
Source: RNAcentral
CGAGCGAACAGACGAGGAGCUUGCUCCUUUGACGUUAGCGGCGGACGGGUGAGUAACACGUAGGUAACCUACCUAUAAGACUGGGAUAACUUCGGGAAACCGGAGCUAAUACCGGAUAAUAUUUCGAACCGCAUGGUUCGAUAGUGAAAGGUGGCUUUGCUACCACUUAUAGAUGGACCUGCGCCGUAUUAGCUAGUUGGUAAGGUAACGGCUUACCAAGGCAACGAUACGUAGCCGACCUGAGAGGGUGAUCGGCCACACUGGAACUGAGACACGGUCCAGACUCCUACGGGAGGCAGCAGUAGGGAAUCUUCCGCAAUGGGCGAAAGCCUGACGGAGCAACGCCGCGUGAGUGAUGAAGGUCUUCGGAUCGUAAAACUCUGUUAUUAGGGAAGAACAAACGUGUAAGUAACUGUGCACGUCUUGACGGUACCUAAUCAGAAAGCCACGGCUAACUACGUGCCAGCAGCCGCGGUAAUACGUAGGUGGCAAGCGUUAUCCGGAAUUAUUGGGCGUAAAGCGCGCGUAGGCGGUUUUUUAAGUCUGAUGUGAAAGCCCACGGCUCAACCGUGGAGGGUCAUUGGAAACUGGAAAACUUGAGUGCAGAAGAGGAAAGUGGAAUUCCAUGUGUAGCGGUGAAAUGCGCAGAGAUAUGGAGGAACACCAGUGGCGAAGGCGACUUUCUGGUCUGUAACUGACGCUGAUGUGCGAAAG